ACCACUAUAGUUGUUGUCUCUCUUCCAGACCAAGAAUAAGAAUUUCCAGAGUGGCUGCCAAAUGCAUCCGCUGACCAUGAUGGAAACUACCCCUGGCUCAGAAGACCAUUCCCCAGGGUGGUCCAGUGCCCAGGGAACCGCGCCCCGAGAAACAAAGCAGCCUGACCUGGCAGACAGAACGCGGAACUGGGAGACAGGACACCCACCUUCGAAUCCCGGCUCUGCCACUUAAUAAUUAAAAUAAUAAGCAUGGUAUCUAGACUGUAAACUCACUGUGGGCAGGGAAUGUGUCUGCUUAUUGUAUUGUUCUCUCCCAGUAAAUACUAUUGAACGAAUGGAUGAAUCUUGAGCACUUACUCUGUGUUGAGCACUGUUCUGAACGCUGGGGUAGAUAUAAGGUAAUCAGGUCGGACAAGGUCCCCGUCCAAUAUGGAGCUCACAGGCCAAAUUGGAGGGAGAAGGAUUUGAUCCUCGAUUUACAGAUGAGGUAACUGAGACAUGGAGAAGUCAAGUGACUUGCCUGAGGUCACACAGGUGGAAAGUGACAGUGCUGGGAUGAGAACUCAGGUCCUCUGAAGGCCCCAGUGCUUUCCACCAGGCCAUGCUGCAUGGGCAAGUCACAUGAGUUUGCAGUACCUCAUUAAAGUCAGGAAACUUCUCUUCCUCUCCCUGAGACUGUGAGUCCUGGGUAGGACUGUGUGGCCAAUCUGAUGAUCUUGUAACUGCUCCAGAGCUUACGCAGGGCUGGGCACAUAGGAAACGCUUAAAAAGCACCACAGUAAUUAUGGAAAUAGAUAAUAACUGGGAGAAGCACUCUGACCAAGUGGAAAGAACACAGUCCCGGGAGCCAAAGUUCUAAUCCCACCUCUGCCACUUGCCUACUGUGUGACCUCGGGCAAGUCACGUAACAG
Molecule: long non-coding RNA, 911 nt
Filed under: Ornithorhynchus anatinus (platypus)
Lineage: Eukaryota; Metazoa; Chordata; Mammalia; Monotremata; Ornithorhynchidae
Description: lncRNA (ENSOANG00000047282.1)
Source: RNAcentral